AACGCAUAUUGCACUCUCUGGCAUUCCGGAGAGUAUGCCUGUUUCAGCAUCAUAAAUCUCAAUCAACCUUCUUUCUUUUUGGAAAAAAGGUUUGGAUCUGGGCAUUGCAUGCAGAAAAAAGAUUCCUUCUUUUUUCCUUUGCCGUGCUUGCCUGAAAUUCAAUCGUGGAACGCCUAAAAAAAAAGGCCAAAUCAAAAGGUGUCAUAGUUGGAUUCAUUCAAUCCAUCUUUCACCGAAUCUUUUGUGCCGUUAGGUUGGUCUGCGUUUCUGCUUGCUCUCCUCUGUGAGGCAGCGGAAAAAACCCCCCUUUUUCAAUUUGAUCUGAAAUCAGGUAGGAUUACCCGCUGAACUUAA
RNAcentral lists this unclassified non-coding RNA (354 nucleotides) under uncultured fungus. RNAcentral's name for it is "partial contains 5.8S ribosomal RNA, internal transcribed spacer 2, and large subunit ribosomal RNA". Lineage: Eukaryota; Fungi. The record is from RNAcentral.